CUCAAGGGCACCCAGGGAAGAAAAGGUGCAAAUAUGAGUCAGCCUUUCCUAACAGCUUCACAGCAGGGCUGUAUUCAAGCCGUCCUCUGAUAAUUAAUGGGUAGAGGUGUGAAAGGGGUAGGACUUUCUUUCCCUUCUUUAUUCCCCUCUUUUAUAGGCCAACAGAGCAAAUCUUUCUGUGUAGAAAACCCUCCAUGCCUUGUGGACACAAUAUGUUCUUGUUUAUUGCCUAAAAGUAACAAAAAGGCUUUAUGCAGAUUAAAAAGUCCAAGAUCUAGAAAAACUAACAAUUUCGCACCAAAUUCUGCUAUUGUUCAAGGUUCUAGCUAUAGUUAUUCUACUAGGUUUAAAAUGUGCAUUGUAAGUCUUUGCUGUGAUGAUACUUGGGAGUUUUUUCUUAAAGGUUGAGCAAUUUGAGUAGAUAAAAGUGUAUCAAGGUGUUUGGGGACAGAGAAUGAAUAUUAGCAAUGACAAAUUUGAUUGCAAGAAAUUGAACCACGAUUCAACCUAACUUAGUGAAAAACCACUGGAGUAUCUCCUGGACUCCGAGGACAGAGAGGCAGCUGGAUUUCCAGAACAGAACUACGCUCUGCAGUUCUGUUGGAAAAGUUCCAGGCAAGGGACCAAGUGGCCAAGCUUGAUGAUCAAUUCCACAGAGCCAGCACUAGGACAAUAAACCACAGUAAGCUCCUUGAGGAUGGGCCGUAACUGUUGUGUUCAGCAGUGAACAUCUAGCACACACAGAAGAGUACCUGGCACAGCGGAGGCAGGCUUUGCUGGAGUUGAUCCCCCUGCUUGCAAUAUGGAUUCUUCUCCCACUUGAAGAACUCACUCCUCCUGUCUGCCCUUUUACCAUCCUCUCCAUACAGGAAGCCUUUCUAAACCAACGCCUGGCUGAUCCUUCUCUUCCCUCUCAAAGAACCUGGUUUUUAGUCCAAGAUCUAUUUCUAUUGCACUGCAUGAUGCAGGGCAAAUAACCUCACUCACUUUGGUCUCAGUUUCCUUAUUUCUAAAAUGAAGGGGUUAUAGCAUUUUAUUGAUCUUUAAUUUGUUUUUAGCAGCCAAAUUCUCUUAUUUUAUAAAUAAAGUUAUUUUAUAAAGUC
RNAcentral lists this long non-coding RNA (1103 nucleotides) under Equus caballus (horse). RNAcentral's name for it is "lncRNA (ENSECAG00000055886.1)". Lineage: Eukaryota; Metazoa; Chordata; Mammalia; Perissodactyla; Equidae. The record is from RNAcentral.